Molecule: ribosomal RNA, 775 nt
Filed under: uncultured Neocallimastigales
Lineage: Eukaryota; Fungi; Neocallimastigomycota; Neocallimastigomycetes; Neocallimastigales
Description: partial large subunit ribosomal RNA
Rfam family: Eukaryotic large subunit ribosomal RNA
Source: RNAcentral
UACUAGAGUAGCACUCGCAUAUCAAUAAGCGGAGGAAAAGAAACUAACAAGGAUUCCCCUAGUAACGGCGAGUGAAGCGGGAAGAGCUCAAAUUUGAAAUCUUAAAGGGUUUCCCUUUACGAAUUGUAGUUUAAAGAAGUGUUUUCUGUUGAGGUUUUGGUAAAAGUUCUUUGGAAUAGGACAUCAUAGAGGGUGAGAAUCCCGUAUUUGACCUUUACUUUCAACUUUGUGAUACACUUUCAAAGAGUCGGAUUGUUUGGGAAUGCAGUCCAAAAUGGGUGGUAAAUUUCAUCUAAAGCUAAAUAUUGGCGAGAGACCGAUAGCGAACAAGUACCGUGAGGGAAAGAUGAAAAGAACUUUGAAAAGAGAGUUAAACAGUACGUGAAAUUGUCAAAAGGGAAGCGUUUGACACCAGUGUUGUUUUUCUGAAAAUCAAUUAAAGAACUGUUUAUGCUAAGCUGUUUCAGACUUUAUCAGCUAUCUGUUUAGUUUUAGGCUUUUCUUUAAUGCACUUUUCAGUUAACAAGUCAACAUCAAUUUCUUUUGCUGUAAAAAAGCUUGAGGAAGGUGGCUUGAGAUUCGUCUUAAGUGUUUAUAGCCUCUUGCCUAUGCAGUCGGAGAGAUUGAGGUCUGCAGCGUAGAUCCUUCGGGGCUAAAUGCAUUUGUGCUAAGUCAUAGCAUUUUAUAGACAACUUGUUGACUAUGAUUUGUCUUGUAGCUUACUCGCUUAUGUUAUUUUACCUACGCUUAGGAUGUUGAGCGCAUGUCUCUCUCU